AUGCUUUGUAAGAUGAUGCAAUCUAUGCCCUGUUUAAUAGCAUCCCACAAUUUUUCAUAUAAAAGCAUAAAACAUACUAAAUAAGGCGCUCAGUCGCUUCGUCAUUCAGUGGCCUAGCGACUCCGGUCGCAUAGCCGAUCAAUAUCCUGUUCACUGUUCAUAUAUUAUAUUUAAUUUGUAAAAUUAAAAUAUUGUCCAUAAUUCACGUUUGUAUUUCAUUAAUUCCUAAUCCAUUAUAAACUCGAGAGGUUCAGUUUAAACAACAAGAUUUGCAAGAUUUAAGAUCGAAUACGUAUAAUUAUCAUAAUUCUAUUGGGCUUCUGAUCCUUUACAAAAACGCGGACGGAAUAUUCGGAUUCUGCACGAAAACUGAAGCAAUAUAUUAUCAGAAUAUUCGUGCUGAUAAGUAACCUCGUCAGACAUAGCAAGGACAAACAUUAUCAAAUAUUUAAAUUUAACAACAAUCAACGAUUACUAAGCGAUAAAUCCAAGAAUUUUUUAAACCCGCUGAAAACAUUUACACGAUUAUAACGGAAACAGGAGACUGCCAUCACUCAACCUUGGAUAGGACAGACCCACAUCACACACCAGCACCUCGUGAAGAUUAAAGACCCGCAAUUUGCUUCAAUUACGACUCCUCUAACCAUCCUGACAGAAUGUCGGAGCUACAAAAAGGAAAGAAAAGAUACGGGUUUGCCAGAUCACUUCACUGAUGCACUAAAUCCGGACCCACGCAAUGUCAAAUACAUCAUUGAAUUUAUUCAAAACAUAUAUAAUCAACAUGUAAUUAAUAUAUAUUUGAUGCAAAAACCGUAUAUUAAUAUAUAUAAUAAAGUCAGGCCAAUGGCCAUAUCUGCGGUGGUCUUUGUUUGUUUUAAUAAAAAAAAAAAAAAUUUACAAAUUAAUUAAUGCCACAACAUUAGCAAUUAUGAAUCCGAAAACCAAUAAAUAAGAACUAAUCAACGUCGUUGAGGUCAGUCCAUAUUAUAUGGAUGAACAGUCGGAAUAAAAGAACAGAAAACAAACGACCCAAUCAUAGUACAGUAAAAGUACAGUCAACCACAGCUGUAGAGCUAGGGCCGAAAAAAAAGUAUAUAAACCAUACAGUAAGAGCGCUAAGAGGUUAUAAUAAUAAUAAUCCCACUUCUCGUCAAUUCCAAUCUGCUUACAAGAAGUUGGUUGUCUGUACACAUUAUAUUGAAAAUUUCAAUACAUAAAAUUGUAUUGCUUUUGAUAACAUUGAAAUAUUGCAUUAUCCUAGUUCAGAUCCGGCCAAGAUUAUAAAUAAUUUUACAUUUAAUCAAAAUAUUGAUUUAGGAUAUAA
This is a long non-coding RNA of Rhopalosiphum padi (bird cherry-oat aphid), 1324 nucleotides long. RefSeq lists it as uncharacterized. The record is from RefSeq and is a predicted model, not a curated record. NCBI's taxonomy places the organism in Eukaryota, Metazoa, Arthropoda, Insecta, Hemiptera, Aphididae. The transcript is spliced from 4 exons.